UAAUUCUGUUAUUAUUACUUAUUUAUUAAUUUUUAAUUUUUAAGUGUUAAUAUCAAAUAUAUAAUGGGAUGAGCUUUUAUAUAUAAUUUUAAAAAUAAAUUUGUUUAUUAUUAGAUGUAUAAUUUAAAUUGUUAAUCAUUAAAAUAAUUUAAUAGUUAAUUUUAUCUUUGAUUUUAUUUAUUUGAUUUUAAAUUUUAUAUUAAAAUUUAUGAUUAAAUUAAUUUUUUUUAGUAAUUAUGAUUAAAUUAGUAAAUAUUUCUGUACAUUAUUUUUAUUUUUUAAGGUUAAUAAAAGUAAUUCGGCAAAAUUGAAUUUUCCGCCUGUUUAUUAAAAACAUGUCCUUUUGAUUAUAAUUUAAGGUCUAAUCUGCUCAAUGAUAUGGUUAAAUUGCCGCAGUAUUUUAACUGUGCAAAGGUAGCAUAAUAAAUAGUUUUUUAAUUGAAAGCUGGAAUGAAUGAUUGGACGAGAAAAUUUCUGUCUCUUUUUAAUUUUUUUUUGAAUUUAACUUUUAAGUUAAAAGGCUUAAAUGUAUCUAAAAGACGAGAAGACCCUAUAGAGUUUUAUUUUUAUAUAUAUUAUUUUUAUUAAGAAUUUAUUGAUUUAAUUUAUUUAAUAAUUUAGUUGGGGUGAUUUAAAGAUUUAAUAAACUCUUUUAAUUAUUAUCAUUUAUUUAUGAAUAAAAAGUCUAAAAAUUUUAAUUUUAAAAUUAAUUACCUUAGGGAUAACAGCGUUAUUUCUUUUUAGAGUUCUUAUUAAAAAUGAAGUUUGCGACCUCGAUGUUGGAUUAAAAUUAAUCUUAGGUGUAGAAGCUUAGGAAUUGAGUCUGUUCGA
This 831-nucleotide ribosomal RNA is filed under the name Cyphonocerus ruficollis. Its description in RNAcentral is "partial 16S rRNA". The record is from RNAcentral. Lineage: Eukaryota; Metazoa; Arthropoda; Insecta; Coleoptera; Lampyridae.